Molecule: small nuclear RNA, 163 nt
Filed under: Pelusios castaneus (West African mud turtle)
Lineage: Eukaryota; Metazoa; Chordata; Testudines; Pelomedusidae
Description: U1 spliceosomal RNA (ENSPCEG00000012039.1)
Rfam family: U1 spliceosomal RNA
About the family: U1 is a small nuclear RNA (snRNA) component of the spliceosome (involved in pre-mRNA splicing). Its 5' end forms complementary base pairs with the 5' splice junction, thus defining the 5' donor site of an intron.
Source: Rfam by way of RNAcentral
ACACUUACCUGGCCAGGGAGAUACUGUGAUCGCAAAGGUGGCUCUCUCAGAGUGCCAUUCAUUGCACUGCGGGUGUGCUGGCCCCUGCGAUUUCCCCCCAGGCAGGAAACUUGACUGCAGAAUUCGUGGCGGUGGGGGGGGGGGGUGUCCGCGCUUUCCCCUG